This 406-nucleotide ribosomal RNA is filed under the name uncultured bacterium. RNAcentral's name for it is "partial 16S ribosomal RNA". It matches the Rfam family "Bacterial small subunit ribosomal RNA", at positions 30 to 526 of the family's 1533-position model. The record is from RNAcentral.
AUUGAACGCUGGCGGCAGGCUUAACACAUGCAAGUCGAGCGAGUGGCGGACGGGUGAGUAAUGUCUGGGAAACUGCCUGAUGGAGGGGGAUAUCUACUGGAAACGGUAGCUAAUACCGCAUACCAUCAGAUGUGCCCAGAUGGGAUUAGCUAGUUGGUGGGGUAAUGGCUCACCUAGGCCACGAUCCCUAGCUGGUCUGAGAGGAUGACCAGCCACACUGGGACUGAGACACGGGCCAGACUCCUACGGGAGGCAGCAGUGGGGAAUAUUGCACAAUGGGCGCAAGCCUGAUGCAGCCAUGCCGCGUGUAUGAAGAAGGCCUUCGGGUUGUAAAGCACUGUCAGCGAGGAGGCGUUACCCGCAGAAGAAGCACCGGCUAACUCCGUGCCAGCAGCCGCGGUAAUAC